GCUGGGUGUGGUGGCUCAUGCCUGUAAUCCCAGCACUUGGGAGGCUGAGGUGGGCAGAUCACUUGAGGUCAGGAGUUCGAGACCAGCCUGGCCAACAUGGUGAAUCCCCAUCUCUA
Molecule: unclassified non-coding RNA, 116 nt
Organism: Macaca fascicularis (crab-eating macaque)
Lineage: Eukaryota; Metazoa; Chordata; Mammalia; Primates; Cercopithecidae
Rfam family: Metazoan signal recognition particle RNA
About the family: The signal recognition particle (SRP) is a universally conserved ribonucleoprotein. It is involved in the co-translational targeting of proteins to membranes. The eukaryotic SRP consists of a 300-nucleotide 7S RNA and six proteins: SRPs 72, 68, 54, 19, 14, and 9.
Source: Ensembl